UCCCUUUUUCCUUUUUUUCUCUCGACUUGGUGUUGCUAUUUCUGAAUGGACACUCUUUAUUUCUCUUCUUCACCUUGUCCUCUCUGACCCUAACCCUAAUCCUACCUUUUUCCCCGACCAAUUCCAAAUCUUCAAUUUUCAUUCCACAAUACUUUCCCAAUCUCAAACUCAAACCCCUUCACGGGAAUCUCCCCAUCGCUCCUCCGAAUCUCAUUCAGCCAAAACCAUGCCUGCUUCACUGCCGCCGCUGAUGCAGGCUUCAACGUCUACAACUGCAACCCCUUUCCGGAGCCACCGCGACUUCGCUGGCGGCGGAAUCGGCCACGUCGAGAUGCUCUUCCACGAUAACAUAAUGGCACUCGUCGGUGCUGAUCUUUCCCUCAGUUCCCUCCAAACAAGGUCAUGGUCUGGGAUGACCACCAGGGCAUGUGCUCGGCGAGCUCUCAUUCUGAACCGUCGUUCGCCGUGUUCAUCUCUGCCGGGACCGAGAUUAGAGCAGCAAUGAGGAUUUGUCAGAGGCGCAAUCAGUUGGGUUCAAAUAUUAAUAAUUUCUGCUAGAAACUGCCUCCUCAUGGUGGAAAAUCAAUGUAGAUGGAUCAGUGAAACAACCAAAUUACAUGGCUGUUUGUGGAAGGUUCAUUAAAUAUUUUCAUGAGAUUUAAGAUUGUUUCAUGAAAUCCUACAGUUAAAUAUUAAUUUAAAGAGGGCAAAGUUUUAGCCUCUAGGCAUAUUUUCCUUUCUUCCCCUUUGGUUGGGUGGACAGAUUGGUUUUGACUUAUGAGAGUAUCUUUCAUUAAAAUAUUGAUUGUGGAUUGCCUUCUUUGAACAGACCUCAACAUUUUUAUUAUUGAUAUUUCCUCUUGUCAUUGUUUUAGACUCUUGAGUAUUGACAUAGUCUAGUAUCCAUGUAAACCAAUCAGUUGGCUGCUAUUUUGUAUCCUUGUGGUGGCCAUUGUAAUACUCGUAGACUUGUAGUUAAAACAACCUGCUCAAGCUCCAUUCAAUUUAAAUUUUAUGCUCCAUGGAAUAACAAUUCUGGUUCAGACCUGUUGGUUUUCCUAAGUUAUUUGCAUGCAUUUUGAAUGGUGGUCUUCAUCCAUUUUUAAAAUGUUUAUUAUUUCUUAGAUUAUAUUUAUCAAAAUUACUUGUUUUAGUGGCUCAGGAGGUGCAACUUAUUGUGGUAUUGCAUCUCUCCGAUUAAUGGGGUUCAUUGAAGAUAAUAUUCUCUCAAGUUGUGCUUCAUCUUCUUUGAUAGAUGUGCCAUUGCUGCUGGACUGGAUCUUGGAGGUUUUUACAUCUAAACACUUUCAAUAUAAGAUGAAUUGAUUGUACUAAACUAUUAAUUGGUAAAUAAACACAUUGGAUUGAGGAUCGUUUUCAAGAGCUGCUUAUUUGUGAAUGCCCUUCAAAUAAUGACCUGAGGGCGAGCCUUGGAAACGUAGUUAUGGCCAGGUUCCUUUUUUCAUCAAUUUUUUUAAAAUUAUGCCACUAGUUUAAAAAAGGAGCAAAUAUUUUUUGAUAUGGCUGUUUGUGGAAGGUUCAUUCAAUAUUUUUUUUAUACAGAUGCUAAUGACUAUCUAGUAUUUUUUGAUUUCUUUUACAGCUAUCAAGGAAUACUAAUUUGAGUAAAAGAGAAUUGCAUGGUAUUAAACUAAUAUGAUUCAUGUGAUAAUACUAUUUAAUAUUUUGAUAUUAGUGGUUGUCUCCUAUCUACUUUGAUAUUAGUUUUUAGUUUUGUUCUGAGAACAUGCACGUAAAAAUCAUCACAGCUAGUUUGCUCCAUUUAUCUUAUAUUUUCCAUCUUAGUGCGGAGCCAGAUUCAAAGUGAGGAUUUAUCUCCAUUGCAAAACAGGGCAAAAUCCCAAAUAACACCAAUGAGUAGUGUGUGGUGCUAAAGGUUCAAGUUGGUUGUUACUGUCUUGUUUCAAUUGAUGGAAAGAGACGGGUAUUUUGCUUCCCGUUUGGAAAAUGCCCUAUGUUAUCAAAGAGAUGGAUCAGGGUUUUCUCUGUAUGAGAAAUGAUUUUUUUGAUACUUCUUACUGCUUUUUAGUGCCAUCCCUCUAUAGCUUCCUAAUGUUGCUAGAAAGAAUUGAAAGAUGAAUGUACAGUUUUAUUGUCUCUAUGAUCUAUCUCUUUCGUGCUUGAAUUUUGGGAGCAUUUGGCUGAGAGAAGUCAUUGUCCAUGAAACUGUAGAAACUAUUUUACAAAAGAAAGGAGUUGUGUGAGAGUUGAUCCUGAGCUUGUUCGUGGCUGUAUUCUUGAAUCACCCAUUCUAGUUUUGGGGAUUGUUAUUCAUAAAAAAACGGAUCAUUUUUUGUUGUGGGGAAAAGGAUGAUCUUUUUUUUUUGUUCAUUGCUUAGUUUCAGCUUCACUAUAAUUUCAGGUUUCCUUCGUAAAGAUAAUUGAUUCUUUGUACAACGACAGACAUUAUGCAAGGUUUUUUGUGCUUGAAACUAUUGCCAGGGUUCCUUACUUUGUCAUGGCUGGAGUUGCACCUGAGGGGUCACAGUUCGAUGCUCGUCAAUAUGAUGCCAAAAUGAGUGACUUGUGUUACUGUAGUCAUGGUUAUGCAUUCGCAAAGGAGUUUUUUUGGCAGUAGUUAGUAAUGCUCCACAAUACUCGGUCAGGUACUCUGAAUCCAUGGGAAGGGGUUGCAUAUUGGCAAGUGAUGUAGAUUCGGUAAUCCUUACCAAAGAUGCUUGUGGAGGGGAUGGGACGCUUGCUUUUGCAAGAAGUGAAAUAAAUAAGGUAUAAAUCCAAACGGAUUAAUUUUUUCCCCUUAUUCUUAUUUUUUGGUUUGAUCAUGUAACAAAGCCAAUGAAGGUGUACCGUAGGCGUGCUGGUAGAGGAUCUUUGGCUGACGUGGCAGAAGCUAGUGUGGAUGAUGUGGCAGCUGAUGUGGGGUAGGGGAUUAUGAUAAGAAUGGGUAGUUAUGGUAAGGAAGGGUGUAGUACGUGUGUGGGGGAAUGGAAGUUGUUAUGAGUAUGAGUGAGAGGAGAGGAGGUCAUUCAGUCAGUCAGUGAGUUAGUAAGUGAGUAGAAGGAGAGAAUAGAGCACUUUCGAAUUGCUCUAGUUGUAACAGACGUUUUAUUUCUUUUAUUUCAAUACCAGUAAGAGCAUUACAGAGAACUUUAUCUCUUCAUUCUUAUUUGUAUGUCAAUUGAUAAUUCUGCUGU
This is an RNA transcript of Gastrolobium bilobum, 3176 nucleotides long. RefSeq lists it as uncharacterized. The record is from RefSeq and is a predicted model, not a curated record. The transcript has 4 exons. Lineage: Eukaryota; Viridiplantae; Streptophyta; Magnoliopsida; Fabales; Fabaceae.